AAGGAUGUAGCUCAGUGGUAGAGCACCUGCUUAGCAUGUACAAGACCCUGGGUUCCAUCCCCAGCACCCAAA
Molecule: transfer RNA, 72 nt
Filed under: Marmota monax (woodchuck)
Lineage: Eukaryota; Metazoa; Chordata; Mammalia; Rodentia; Sciuridae
Description: tRNA.Ala
Rfam family: tRNA
About the family: Transfer RNA (tRNA) molecules are approximately 80 nucleotides in length. Their secondary structure includes four short double-helical elements and three loops (D, anti-codon, and T loops).
Source: RNAcentral